GAUGAACGCUGGCGGCAUGCUUUACACAUGCAAGUCGGACGGACAGUCGUGUUUCCAGUUGCGGACGGGUUAGUAACGCGUAAGAACCUGCCCUUUGGAGGACCACCACAUCUGGCAACGGCUGCUAAUACCCCGUAGGCUUAGUAGCGAAAGGAGUAAUCCGCCCGAGGGUGGGCUCGCGUCUGAUUAGCUAGUUGUUGAGGUUAUAGCUGACCAGGGCCGUGAUCCGUAGACGGUCCGAGAGGAAGAUCAGCCACACUGGGACUGAGACAAGCACCAGACUACCACCGGAAGUAGCAGUAGGGAAGACGGAGCAAUGCGCCAAAGGCUAAGAGGGCAAUGCCGUGGUAAGAUAAAAGGAUUAGGGGUGAAGAAAUUCGUAAGUAAGAGAAGAAACAAUGACGGUAUCUGGGCAAUAAGCAUCGGCUAACUACGUG
Molecule: ribosomal RNA, 437 nt
Filed under: uncultured bacterium
Lineage: Bacteria
Description: partial 16S ribosomal RNA
Rfam family: Bacterial small subunit ribosomal RNA
Source: RNAcentral